Molecule: ribosomal RNA, 548 nt
Filed under: uncultured bacterium
Lineage: Bacteria
Description: bacterial SSU rRNA
Rfam family: Bacterial small subunit ribosomal RNA
Source: RNAcentral
GAGUUUGAUCCUGGCUCAAGAUGAACGCUGGCGGCGUGCUUAACACAUGCAAGUCGAACGGAGCGCUACCGACGGAACUUUUCGGAGGGAAGAUGGUAAUGACUGAGUGGCGGACGGGUGAGUAACGCGUGGGUAACCUGCCUCACAGAGGGGGACAACAGCCGGAAACGGCUGCUAAUACCGCAUAACAAGGGAUUGCCGCAUGACGAUCCUUUCAAAGAUUUAUCGCUGUGAGAUGGACCCGCGUCUGAUUAGCUUGUUGGUGGGGUAACGGCCUACCAAGGCGACGAUCAGUAGCCGGCUUGAGAGAGUGAACGGCCACAUUGGGACUGAGACACGGCCCAGACUCCUACGGGAGGCAGCAGUGGGGAAUAUUGCACAAUGGGGGAAACCCUGAUGCAGCGACGCCGCGUGAGUGAAGAAGUAUUUCGGUAUGUAAAGCUCUAUCAGCAGGGAAGAUAAUGACGGUACCUGACUAAGAAGCCCCGGCUAACUACGUGCCAGCAGCCGCGGUAAUACGUANGGGGCAAGCGUUAUCCGGAUUUACU